GAUGAAGAACGCAGCGAAAUGCGAUAAGUAAUGCGAAUUGCAGAAUUCCAGUGAGUCAUCGAAUCUUUGAACGCACAUUGCGCCCUUUGGUAUUCCGAAGGGCAUGCCUGUUCGAGCGUCAUUAUCACCCCUCAAGCCCUCGGCUUGGUGUUGGACGGUUUGGUGGAGGCCCCCUCGGGGGCUCCUGCCCCUCCCAAAGACAAUGACGGCGGCCUCGUUGGACCCCCGGUACACUGAGUUCUUCACGGGACACGUAUCGGACACAUGGGUUUACGGGACACGGUCUGCCUCCCCUCAGGGAGAAUCUUUCUAAGGUUGACCUCGGAUCAGGUAGGAAGACCCGCUGAACUUAAGCAUAUCAAUAAGCGGAGGA
Molecule: unclassified non-coding RNA, 373 nt
Filed under: soil metagenome
Description: partial contains 5.8S ribosomal RNA, internal transcribed spacer 2, and large subunit ribosomal RNA
Rfam family: 5.8S ribosomal RNA (bases 1-121)
Source: RNAcentral